RNAcentral lists this ribosomal RNA (253 nucleotides) under uncultured bacterium. Its description in RNAcentral is "partial 16S ribosomal RNA". It matches the Rfam family "Bacterial small subunit ribosomal RNA", at positions 524 to 776 of the family's 1533-position model. The record is from RNAcentral.
UACGGAGGGUGCAAGCGUUAUCCGGAUUUACUGGGUUUAAAGGGUGCGUAGGUGGAUUUGUAAGUCAGUGGUGAAAUCUCCGAGCUUAACUCGGAAACUGCCAUUGAUACUAUAGAUCUUGAAUCAUCUGGAGGUAAGCGGAAUAUGUCAUGUAGCGGUGAAAUGCUUAGAUAUGACAUAGAACACCAAUUGCGAAGGCAGCUUGCUAGCCUGUAACUGACGCUGAGGCACGAAAGUGUGGGGAUCAAACAGG